GGAGUCGGUUACGUCCCAUCCUCCGGGCCGGCGACUUCCGCUCUUGCCUUCCGUGAACUUUGAUACAAACAUCGCGGGAAUGUUCCCCUCAUACGCGUUCAAUGCACGCGAGGGCGCCUGCGGUUUUACUGUGACUAAAAAAGCGCGACCAAAGCAGUCGUACGACAUGAAUUUGAAAGCAUGGGAUAACAAAGUAGCAGCCUACGGGUUACCGUUUCGGCUUUUGUUGGUUUUAAAGAUCUGUGGGAGAUUAUGGACUCGCAUGACCAGUUCGUGGUUUCGGCCCCGUUCUUCCGGCGUUUGGGUUAUCCAAUUCAGGCGUCGGCUUGCGUUGUCCAGGAAUGAAGGAGGGUUGUUCGGGGGAGAACGUACUUGGGCGUGAGAGGUGAAAUUCUUAGACCGCCCAAAGACGAACUACAGCGAAGGCAUUCUCCAAGGAUACCUUCCUCAAUCAAGAACCAAAGUGUGGAGAUCGAAGAUGAUUAGAGACCAUUGUAGUCCACACCACAAACGGUGACCCCCACGAAUUGGGGAGUAUUUGGUUGCGGUGAAGCAAGCUCGCUUGCUGAUCCCGCCAAAAGAGAAUA
This 587-nucleotide ribosomal RNA is filed under the name uncultured eukaryote. Its description in RNAcentral is "SSU rRNA". It matches the Rfam family "Eukaryotic small subunit ribosomal RNA", at positions 644 to 1092 of the family's 1831-position model. The record is from RNAcentral.